CCGUGAAUCUGGGCGGCGGAAUUCAGGAUGGCUGGCGCGUCUUCGCGGCGCGUCGGCCGUUUGAUAUUUCCGUCGCCGAUCACCCGCAGACGUCGCGACCUGUUCGCGGUCGGUCCCUGCUCGGAGGAGCCGCGUUCGAGUUCGUUGCGUGCGCGUUUCGGCGUGUCACGCGGCGAAGGCGCGGAUCUCUGGCUGGCCGUCGGACAGUAUGCUCAGCGGUGUCCGGUGUCGUCGUCUCGUACGCGCGUGCACCGGUACCGGUCAGCGACGAAUUCUUCGGGCCUCUUUCC
This 290-nucleotide ribosomal RNA is filed under the name Diaspididae sp. CASENT0122764-D11. RNAcentral's name for it is "partial 28S ribosomal RNA". The record is from RNAcentral. Lineage: Eukaryota; Metazoa; Arthropoda; Insecta; Hemiptera; Diaspididae.